CCUACGGGGGGCAGCAGUGGGGAAUAUUGCACAAUGGACGAAAGUCUGAUGGAGCAACGCCGCGUGAGUGAAGAAGGGUUUCGGCUCGUAAAGCUCUGUUGGUAGUGAAGAAAGAUAGAGGUAGUAACUUGCCUUUAUUUUACGGUAAUUACUUAGAAAGUCACGGCUAACUACGUGCCCGCAGCCGCGGUAAUACGUCGGUGGCAAGCGUUUUCCGGAUUUAUUGGGCGUAAAGCGAGUGCAGGCGGUUU
This 251-nucleotide ribosomal RNA is filed under the name uncultured bacterium. RNAcentral's name for it is "partial 16S ribosomal RNA". It matches the Rfam family "Bacterial small subunit ribosomal RNA", at positions 338 to 581 of the family's 1533-position model. The record is from RNAcentral.